GCCAUUUUUCUGCAAUGGAAUUAAAUGGCCAAAGCAGUAAACAGUCCUCAGCGAAGCCGCCUUUUUGCCUACCCAACCCUGGAAAGUUUGCAGAAGUGGAAGGAGCAGAACGUGAGGGUGUAACUUACAAAAAGGUUCUGGGCCGGAGAAGGGGCGACGUUCGGGCACCCCCCGAAUGGACAAUCUUUCCUUCUGUCGACGGCAGGGGCAGGCCUAGUUUGACUCUGACAGUCCUCCCACUAAGGAAUUCCUGGUGACUGGAAGGGGAGUGACUUGGGUCCUCAACCUCUAGCAGGUAAGGGAGCUGCCUUCUGGGUGGGCAUGCCCAGUUCCUCAGUGGGCCCAGUGCAGCCCAGCCUCCGAGGAAGCUCUGAGCAGCUGGCUUGGCUCCGAGGUAUUUUUAGCUACAGAUCCAGCCCCCCUCCAUCACCACAACAGUCGAGUCCAAAUCAAACGUGCUCCAGGCAGGUGGGGCUGGGGUUCUGCCAGCCUCCUGGCCAGCAGGGGUGGGUGGGCAGACUGGGGCCAGUAUCAGCUGUUCUGCCUGGACCCAGGCUGGGCUGGGAAGGCACAUUUGUGCUCAUUUCCCGCCUCCAUUUCUGUGCAAGCUUGUGCUGUCAUAAGUAGAGAUCACAGCCCCAUUUCUUGGAUGGAGAAAGUGGACACUGAGGUCUGAGGCUUUUGAGGACAGUCAGGAGCCCUCCUAUGGGCUCCAGUGAUGCACUCACCAGCUUCUGGUCUUCUUCCACCUCUUAGAGUGCCUUGGCUCCCUCCUGUGGUCCUGGGGAACCUCGGCCCCAGCCCUGCCUCCCCAGCCAGUCACAGCUCCUCCCUGGUCACCCUGAGGGAGCUCAGGGCCUGGCUGGUGGCUGGGCUCGUCUCCUUCUGUCCCCCACUCCUGUGGAGCCUGGCAGGCAACUCCAUGAUCUGACCCCGGUUACCUUGACAGCUCUGCCUGGCCUCCCUCUCAUGGCCCAGCCAUCCCAGAACCUGAAGAGGUUUUCUACUUGCCGUGCCUUUGCCAGGCCGGGUUACCCACCCUACCUUCCCUGCCUGCCCUCCAGUGCUGCCAAGCCCAGUGUGCCGGCCAGCGCUCAGCCUUCCGUAAAGGGUUCCCCUGCUUCCAACCUCCAUUGCACUGCUUCCCCCAAGACUGACCUUCUGGAAGGCUGGAGCACAACUGCCUCUCAAUAAACGUGUUGCAAAAAAGGAA
This 1213-nucleotide long non-coding RNA is filed under the name Pongo abelii (Sumatran orangutan). RNAcentral describes it as "lincRNA". The record is from RNAcentral. Lineage: Eukaryota; Metazoa; Chordata; Mammalia; Primates; Hominidae.